CGUAUGCAUCUAGGUCGUCUACAACAACUUCUAGAUGAUUCCCUGUCGUGCUCAGAAAUUAAGUAGACGCAUUCUUGAGGGCUUCGAAAGGAUCCUCCAAGUUCUAGACCAGGACAUCGUUUCAUGACAAAAAAAUAUCUGAAUAUUAGAAUUGCCUAAAUUUAAUUUUCUGAAAGUACUGUAAAGUCAAAGUAGUCAUCUACUGGUAAGAGAGAACACUCAAAGAUUUCAAGAUGUGAAAGCUCGAGUGUGAGAGGUUUGUGAGAGAGGGAAGAGGCUGAGUGAG
RNAcentral lists this long non-coding RNA (286 nucleotides) under Oryza brachyantha (malo sina). RNAcentral's name for it is "long non-coding RNA (OBRA_LNC002632)". The record is from RNAcentral. Lineage: Eukaryota; Viridiplantae; Streptophyta; Magnoliopsida; Poales; Poaceae.